UACGGAGGGUGCGAGCGUUGUCCGGAAUCACUGGGCGUAAAGGGCGCGUAGGCGGCGACUCAAGUUAGAUGUGAAAGUCCUGGGCUUAACCUGGGGACUGCAUUUGAUACUGGGUUGCUUGAGUUCGGGAGAGGAUAGCGGAAUUCCCAGUGUAGAGGUGAAAUUCGUAGAUAUUGGGAAGAACACCGGUGGCGAAGGCGGCUAUCUGGACCGACAUUGACGCUGAGGCGCGAAAGCGUGGGGAGCAAACAGG
Molecule: ribosomal RNA, 253 nt
Filed under: uncultured bacterium
Lineage: Bacteria
Description: partial 16S ribosomal RNA
Rfam family: Bacterial small subunit ribosomal RNA
Source: RNAcentral